This 83-nucleotide transfer RNA is filed under the name gut metagenome. RNAcentral's name for it is "tRNA-His". The record is from RNAcentral.
GCCCCAUUAGUUCAGAUGGUAGAACAAUCCAACCUGCAUGUCAGGCAAUAUAGUCUGCGGUUCGAGUCCGCAAUGGGGCACUA